GUCCAAAAAGCAUGACCUGAGGCUUCUCCUCGCGAUCAGAUCUGAGCAGGGGGAGCCCCAGCGCCGGCCCCGGGAGGGUUCCCUAUAAAGGUCCCGCGGCGUGCGCGGGGCCGGCAGACGUGGCACCGCGGGGCCGGCGGCCGGGGCGCGCAAGCAUCUCCGCAGGUACGUGCGGCUGCGCUUCCGCGCUCCCGGUAUUUUCGGCGCGUGCCUUUGUGUUUAGCCAACCCAUCUGUACCGAAGCGGGAGGUUAUUUUUGUCCGUACGUGUAUGCUAAAUGAAUGCCGUCAAAGUUUUGGGUCGUUUGUUGUUGGGUUGGUUGUUUGGUUGUUUUUUUUUUUCUUUUAUGGCAGCAUUUGCACGUUUCUAGUACAAACCGCAGCAGAGACUGACUUGUGCUGUUUGCAGCAAGAUCUCGAUUUAGGAGACUAAAAGCACUGAGAGUUUAUGAAAAUAAACAAAACCAUGGAAUUGAUCCAUGCUACAGUAAUCCUGUAAAAAUAUACUUAAUUAAAACAACUAAAAUCAAAACCUCUGCAAGCCAAAACGUUGCAAAUCCAAAUUGCCUGGAACAGCCAGCUGAAGGGAGAAUGAUACUUUGGCUCCAUUAUAAAAGAAACUUGUUCAAGGAGAAAAGUUAAAGUUUGAAAUUAUCGCUAAAACUGAAGCUCUGGAAUUCGGAACAUUCUUUCUGAUUGCUUCUUGGUAUUACAGAAAAAAAAAAAAAAAAAAAAAAAAAUGAACACCCACACCCAAACCACAAAA
Molecule: long non-coding RNA, 765 nt
Organism: Tyto alba (common barn owl)
Lineage: Eukaryota; Metazoa; Chordata; Aves; Strigiformes; Tytonidae
Exons: 2
Source: RefSeq, a predicted model, not a curated record